This 329-nucleotide ribosomal RNA is filed under the name uncultured bacterium. Its description in RNAcentral is "bacterial SSU rRNA". It matches the Rfam family "Bacterial small subunit ribosomal RNA", at positions 570 to 898 of the family's 1533-position model. The record is from RNAcentral.
UGUAGGCGGUUGCUUAAGUUUGGUGUGAAAUCUCCCGGCUCAACUGGGAGGGUGCGCCGAAUACUGAGUGACUCGAGUGCGGGAGAGGAGAGUGGAAUUCCUGGUGUAGCGGUGAAAUGCGUAGAUAUCAGGAGGAACACCGGUGGUGUAGACGGCUCUCUGGACCGUAACUGACGCUGAGACACGAAAGCGUGGGUAGCAAACAGGAUUAGAUACCCUGGUAGUCCACGCCCUAAACGAUGCAUAUUUGGUGUGGGCACGUUCAGUCUGUCCGUGCCGGAGCUAACGCGUUAAAUAUGCCGCCUGGGGAGUACAGUCGCAAGGCUGAA